AGUGAACGCUGGCGGUAGGCCUAACACAUGCAAGUCGAACGGCAGCACAGGAGAGCUUGCUCUCUGGGUGGCGAGUGGCGGACGGGUGAGGAAUACAUCGGAAUCUACUCUGUCGUGGGGGAUAACGUAGGGAAACUUACGCUAAUACCGCAUACGACCUACGGGUGAAAGCAGGGGACCUUCGGGCCUUGCGCGAUUGAAUGGGCCGAUGUCGGAUUAGCUAGUUGGCGGGGUAAAGGCCCACCAAGGCGACGAUCCGUAGCUGGUCUGAGAGGAUGAUCAGCACACUGGAACUGAGACACGGUCCAGACUCCUACGGGAGGCAGCAGUGGGGAAUAUUGGACAAUGGGCGCAAGCCUGAUCCAGCCAUACCGCGUGGGUGAAGAAGGCCUUCGGGUUGUAAAGCCCUUUUGUUGGGAAAGAAAUCCAGCUGGCUAAUACCCGGUUGGGAUGACGGUACCCAAAGAAUAAGCACCGGCUAACUUCGUGCCAGCCGCCGCAGUAA
This 505-nucleotide ribosomal RNA is filed under the name uncultured bacterium. RNAcentral's name for it is "partial 16S ribosomal RNA". It matches the Rfam family "Bacterial small subunit ribosomal RNA", at positions 29 to 523 of the family's 1533-position model. The record is from RNAcentral.